RNAcentral lists this transfer RNA (119 nucleotides) under Nanobdellota archaeon. Its description in RNAcentral is "tRNA-Ile". It matches the Rfam family "tRNA". Rfam says of the family: Transfer RNA (tRNA) molecules are approximately 80 nucleotides in length. The record is from RNAcentral. Lineage: Archaea; Nanobdellati; Nanobdellota.
GAGCCCGUGGCUUAGCCUGGCUAGAGCGCUCGACUGAUAAUCGAGUGGUCCCGAGUUCAAAUAUUGACGCUUGAGGCGGUAAUGCUUUGAACGUCAGUGAGAAAGUCUCGGCGGGCUCA